CCCAAUGCUUCUGACCCAUUUAGGGAUCUUGUGACCCAUUCUUCUCAAAUUCUCAAUUGAUUACUCUUCGAUUCAAUCACAAAAUCACUUCAAUCCUUCGUGACUUCGUCCCUUCGCACUAUUCAUCACUGCCUGUCUUUCCCCUUCCCAUCUUCGACGGCACGUCCUCCUGGAGCCGGUCAGACUUGCUCCCAUCUCCGACCGACUCUACAUUCUUCUCGGGCUCCGAGUUUUGAUCUCCGUUGGAUCGUUGUAGUCUUGCAGACUAGCAGGCAACGCCUGCGCAUGACAGCAGCUCCGCCAAUCGCUCAUUACAUUGUAACAGAAGAAGGUGAUUUUGAUUUUUGAAUCGGUUGGGUAGCCAGCAGAAUAAAAAGCAUGUGAAAUUAGCGCUUUAUUCUUUAAUUGCUCAAAGCAGCACUUCGUACACGUUGCUCUUCAAUUGAUUUUGGCACAGACUUCCAGUGGACCAGUUCAUUGUUGCAUCUGACUCUCUACAAAUAUGCGAUUAGUUGAAGGGGAGAUUGGAGUAAUUGUCAUUAAUGCUUGAUCGCAGUUCCCGUCUUUCUUUAAAUGCGAAAAUGGUGAUAUCCCAGAGGAAGGAGGAAUAUUUAUGCUUCCCUGAAAUCCAUUGUUCUUGUUUUCAUUCUUCUAUGACAUUGUGAACAGAGGGGAACAGGUUCGUGUUAUUUUCCAUAAUUUUGAGUUACUUGUUUCGACGCUUAAUAUGUAGCUUGUACGUUAAUGUGUGAAUUUUCAGUGUAAGCAUCAACUGAUGUGAAGGUUUCUGAUGAGGAUCUUGCAUUCUUACUUUCCAAGCUUUGACACCUUGAAAGAACAACAGAGUUCGCCUGUAGUGAUUGAGGUAAUUAGAGAAAACUUGAUGAGUUUCAAUUAGAUAGCGUAUGUCAUACCUUCAAGAAUUACUAAAGUUGUAAUUGGCAUUUUGUCAGUCCAAUUGCUUGAUUUUUGGAUGUUUU
Molecule: long non-coding RNA, 980 nt
Organism: Olea europaea var. sylvestris
Lineage: Eukaryota; Viridiplantae; Streptophyta; Magnoliopsida; Lamiales; Oleaceae
Exons: 3
Source: RefSeq, a predicted model, not a curated record